AGCGUCUGUGAACAUUCGCUGCGUCCGCUCCCUAGACGCGGCCCCAAGCGCGGGGUGGCUGGAGGCGGAGUCCGAUCCUGGCCGCGAUAGUCCGCCGGGAUGAACCUGGAGUUGUUGGAGUCCUUUGGACAGAACUACCCAGAGGAAGCUGAUGGAACUUUGGAUUGCAUCAGUAUGGCCCUGACCUGUACCUUUAACAGAUGGGGCACACUGCUCGCUGUUGGCUGUAAUGAUGGCCGAAUUGUCAUCUGGGAUUUCUUGACAAGAGGCAUUGCUAAAAUAAUUAGUGCCCACAUACAUCCUGUCUGUUCCUUAUGCUGGAGUCGAGAUGGUCACAAGCUUGUGAGCGCAUCAACUGAUAACAUAGUGUCACAGUGGGAUGUCUUAUCUGGGGACUGUGAUCAGAGAUUUCGAUUUCCUUCACCUAUACUGAAAGUCCAGUAUCAUCCCCGAGAUCAGAACAAAGUUCUUGUAUGUCCCAUGAAAUCAGCUCCUGUUAUGUUGACCCUUUCUGAUUCCAAACAUGUCGUCUUGCCAGUAGAUGAUGAUUCUGAUCUGAAUGUAGUGGCAUCUUUUGAUAGACGAGGAGAAUAUAUUUACACAGGGAAUGCAAAGGGGAAGAUCUUGGUCCUAAAAACAGAUACCCAGGAUCUAGUUGCUUCUUUCAGAGUAACAACUGGGACCAGCAAUACCACAGCUAUAAAAUCAAUAGAAUUUGCUCGGAAGGGGAGCUGCUUUCUAAUAAAUACAGCAGAUCGAAUAAUCCGAGUAUAUGAUGGCAGGGAAAUUUUAACCUGUGGCAGAGAUGGAGAACCAGAACCCAUGCAGAAAUUGCAGGAUUUGGUAAACAGGACACCUUGGAAGAAAUGUUGCUUCUCUGGAGAUGGAGAAUACAUAGUUGCAGGCUCUGCCCGACAGCAUGCCCUAUAUAUAUGGGAGAAGAGUAUUGGUAAUUUGGUAAAGAUUCUUCAUGGAACUAGAGGAGAACUUCUGUUGGAUGUAGCUUGGCAUCCAGUCCGACCCAUAAUAGCAUCCAUUUCUAGUGGAGUGGUAUCUAUCUGGGCACAAAAUCAAGUGGAAAACUGGAGUGCGUUUGCACCAGACUUUAAAGAGCUGGACGAAAAUGUGGAGUAUGAGGAAAGGGAGUCAGAGUUUGACAUUGAGGAUGAAGAUAAGAGCGAGCCAGAACAAACAGGUGCUGAUGCUGCAGAGGAUGAGGAAGUGGAUGUCACUAGUGUAGAUCCUAUAGCUGCUUUUUGUAGCAGUGAUGAGGAGCUGGAAGAUUCAAAGGCUUUGUUAUAUUUACCCAUUGCACCUGAGGUAGAAGAUCCAGAGGAAAAUCCUUAUGGACCCCCACCUGAUGCUGUCCAAACUUCACUGAUGGAAGAAGGAGCUGGUUCAGAGAAGAAGAGACAGUCCUCAGCUGAUGGGCCCCAGCCACCGAAGAAGAAAACCAAAACCACCAACAUUGAGCUGCAAGGAGUACCUAGUGAUGAAGUCCAUCCGCUACUGGGGGUGAAGGGGGAUGGCAAAUCGAAGAAGAAGCAAGCAGGCCGGCCUAAAGGAUCAAAAGGUAAAGAGAAAGAUUCUCCAUUUAAACCGAAACUCUACAAAGGGGACAGAGGUUUACCUCUGGAAGGAGCAGCGAAGGGUAGAGUGCAGGCGGAGCCCAGCCAACCCUUGACAGUAGCCCAGUGCCAAUAAUGAAGUUGGUGGUUGUACACUCCAGAAUGGCUAGGAAGGAAGAUGAAGUUUUUGAGGUACAUACCAUCAUGAUGUCAGGACCUGAAAAUGGGAGGAGAAACCUGGGAGGAGCUGACCAGAAAAGCAGCUACUGGGAUGUAGAAGCUGCAGUGUCUGUCAGGGGGAGCCAUCUCAGAGCUGUUGUGAAGACAACCAUGGGAGUUCGCCAUUCUUUACCCACUCUGCGGUCCUGCGGCCUCGGACCCUGUGCUUGGACGGAUAAGACUGACUUACAUAUAAGACCAAGGUUGAAUGAAGGGAAUUAUGAAAGAAGAGUGACUUUCCCCAGCCCUCCCUCUCAAAGCAUAAUUCUGAAUAGACUCAGGAAAAGAGGACUUGCAAAGCCUUGAAUGGGAGUCGCGGCUGGUGUAGAUGGAAUGGCUUAGUUAUGCUGCUGGAACACCGCCCACGUUUUCUUUGUGUGACCUCCCUUAGCUAAGCGUCACCUGGGUGCGCCUUUUCCCACCUUCUGCUGUGUCAUCCCUCAGCGCAUGUCCUCGAGUGAAUUGUUGUUCUGUGUGACUUCUCCCUCUUGUCUCCUAGAAAAGGAUCUGUUGCAUACUCUACUCUUUUCUCUCUCUUUUUUUCCCUAACCCAGUCAACAUGUAAAGGCCUGUAUUCCAAGAUAAAUCAUCCUUUUUCAGAACAGGCAAGAAAAUGAAGUGCUUAUAAUCCAAAAAGCUCAGGAAAAAUGUAGAGCCAUCAGAAAGGGAAGACAGAUAAGAAACUCAAUUUGACUAUCAUAUAACCUUUUCCCCAAGAGAUGGGGAUAUAAAAUGUUCUUUUUUAAAAAACUUUUUGUUUAUUCCAUUUUAGCCUUCAGCAUCAAUUUAAUCUAUCUAAAUCAUGUUUUUGAAGACAGGGAUUUUCACCUGUCCCAGGCAAAGUAGCACAUAAGAGAUUUUUUUUGUUUGGCUGCCAUGUGCAGACUUAUAGAGAAGAAACCAUACAAAGGUGUCUCUGAGCCUCUGAAUAUCUAUGCAAGGUCUAAAAUGGAGCUGUCCAAAAUCAGAUCAAAUCAAAGUUCAAAGUGAAAUUUUUUUUUCAUUAUUCUCCAUGCAUUUGCCCUUUCCUCAAAACAUCAGUGUUGCCCCCGUUUGUCUAUGUUGUAAGCAGUUUUUUUCCUCCUUACAGUUCCUCUUUUUAACAUUUUCUUUUGGUCACUUCCUUUCUGUGAAAGGCUUCUCUGUUAUCUCAGUUUCUCCACCACCAUUCAUGAAACAAGAGUGGCAGAUGAAAUGUGUACACACACAAGAAACCUUUAUAUUUUUAAAAAUUGCCCAGAGUUCUUUUCCCUUCCAUUGCUGGUACUUUGUGAACCUGUGUAGCUCAUCAUUUCACCUCUUCUGUUUAUGUUGUGUUGCUUACUUUCUCAAAAGUUCAUUUUAGGGAAGGAAAGUAUGGAAUGAAAAUCCACAAACCUAGGUGCAGUAUUCAUCUAGCUAUAUUUAUUUUAAUUUGAAGGUAGUUAUUUUCUCUUUACUUCUUGAGGAAAGCUUUAGAAUAGUUUAUGCUAUAGCGUGAGGAGGAACCCACUGAGCUCAUUGAUGAACCAAGAAAGAGAUGAAUCAGGUUAUUUGAUAGGAUGUUUGAGGAAUAGUGGGAGAAACAAAAUAUGUCUGAAAGAGCCUUCCUUACCUUUUCACUUGUUCAUGUAAGAGAAAGGUCCAUUUCUCAAAGUAUGUGACAAAGUU
RNA transcript from Sarcophilus harrisii (Tasmanian devil), 3437 nucleotides. It is a transcript of the gene named RB binding protein 5, histone lysine methyltransferase complex subunit, with no coding region annotated. Lineage: Eukaryota; Metazoa; Chordata; Mammalia; Dasyuromorphia; Dasyuridae. The transcript has 15 exons. The record is from RefSeq and is a predicted model, not a curated record.